This 418-nucleotide ribosomal RNA is filed under the name Xenoleberis yamadai. RNAcentral's name for it is "partial large subunit ribosomal RNA". It matches the Rfam family "Bacterial large subunit ribosomal RNA", at positions 1974 to 2608 of the family's 2925-position model. The record is from RNAcentral. Lineage: Eukaryota; Metazoa; Arthropoda; Ostracoda; Myodocopida; Cylindroleberididae.
UUUUAAUUGGGGACUGGAAUGAAAGGUGUGAUGAGAGGGAGACUGUCUUUUAAUAUAGUUUGAAUUUGAUUAUCAGGUACAAAGGCCUGGAUUAUGUAAAGUGACAAGAAGACCCUAAGAGUUUUAUUUUGUGCGUAAGUUAGUUUUAAGGUGUUGUAUUUAUAUUUCUUGCGUAUAAGAUUUAACUGGGGCGGUUUAAAAUAUAUCAUUUUUGGUUAUUACAAUAAUAAGUGUAUUAUUUUGUUAAUUAUCCUUUUCGGAAGUCAUUAUAAAUUACCUUAGGGAUAACAGCAUAAUCUUUUUUGAGAGAUCUUAUUGACAAAAAGGUUUGUGACCUCGAUGUUGGAUUUGAGUAACUAUAAGGAGCAGCAUCUUUGUAAGUUGGUUUGUUCAACCAUUUAAUCUCAACAUGAUUUGA